CAUCAAAGGUGAUGAUCCAAUCGGGGUUUCAGGUGUGAAACAGGUGCAAUACGACAGGUGUGUCAAGGAAAGUGUCAACUCAUCGCUUAGAAUCACGUCAUACGGAGUACAAUUACCGUUUUAGUAGACACGCAAUACCUGUGUAAUUACUUCGAACGCCGAAUCGGAGUUGUAUGGCUUGCUGUAUAUCACAACCAGUUGAGGAAAAUAUUUCAAACUUGGCGUUGUUGCUGCGGCGAAAUGCUGUUGAUUUCAACCCUGGUGGCCCCGGGAUUGGGUUUCGGAAUCCUACACGAACACGAUACAUUCUCCCCCAGUUCCCAGCCAGAUCAAUCACAGGGAGGUAACCCAAGCGUCAGCCCACCAGGUGGCUCCACCAUUUAUAGCCUCGCUGUCGACUUGACGGAAGAACGCGUAGUCUAACGUUGAAGUGUUAACAAAUUUACCCACAAAGGAGGGAUUUGUCCGUAAUUGAUGUUAUGUCACGGUGUUAUGUCCAGAUUGAUGUAGCCGUGUGUUGUAUGAGAGACACUGCAUGUUCACAGAUUGUAAUUACAAUGUCUGGUUUCAAGUCGUCUCAAGAGGCCUGUCUGUAGAUGCUGUGUCACUUCCAGCCGCUAAUGGCUGCAACUAUACGCUAACGUCACAUCACGGUGUCGAGUUAAGGAGAUGCGAGCGACAUGCCAGGUUGCACCCGUGCAACUCAUUCAAAACCCAUUUUAGUCUGCCAGCUUUAACGUUAUUAUGUUAAUAAAUCCAGUAGUUGA
This is a long non-coding RNA of Haliotis rubra (blacklip abalone), 767 nucleotides long. RefSeq lists it as uncharacterized. The record is from RefSeq and is a predicted model, not a curated record. The transcript has 2 exons. Lineage: Eukaryota; Metazoa; Mollusca; Gastropoda; Lepetellida; Haliotidae.